This is a non-coding RNA of Potamilus streckersoni, 68 nucleotides long. NCBI's taxonomy places the organism in Eukaryota, Metazoa, Mollusca, Bivalvia, Unionida, Unionidae. The record is from the annotation of a GenBank genome assembly.
ACCGGUGGCCCGUGGUUAGUGUCCGCCUUAGAUGCGGGAGGUCGUGGGUUCGAUUCCCCGCCGAAUUA